Molecule: long non-coding RNA, 609 nt
Organism: Phymastichus coffea
Lineage: Eukaryota; Metazoa; Arthropoda; Insecta; Hymenoptera; Eulophidae
Exons: 4
Source: RefSeq, a predicted model, not a curated record
GUUCAGUGGUGAGUUUCAAAUUUGAUGUGAGAAACGCAUCUAUACAGUUCUUAUAUCCGUGAUUUUCAGCUCCAAUUUUAUUUAACGUGUAACGUAGUAUAAGUUGGUAGACCAAUAGAAUUUAUAUGAACAAAUACUAUUUGAUUUCGGGGAAGGUAUAUUGCAAGGUGUAGUCAAGUUUGCUGAUUUUACAAUUGAAAAUAAUUUUGGAAAUACAGGCUCGAAUGCAAAAGGCUGUAGAUAAUACAAAGCCUUCCUUAAGAAUACAAAGAUUUUAUAGGGAAAAACAAGUGUGCGUUGAAAAAAAUCAUUUAUAAAGACGAAAGAUUUACAAAUUAUAACAUGAUACAUCAGGAAAAUUACUUCCGAAUAAAUUGACUAUACAUAAUUUGACUGAUGAUUGGCUAAAAGCUAUUCAGGUGAUUUGGAAAACUACCCACUUAAAUGCAGAAAACAAUUGUGAUAUAAAUAAAUCAAUGUCGGAUUGUUUUCAAGAAAGAGAAGAACUUUGAUUGUGGCCAGCUCAGUUAAACAUAAUCAACGCUCCUCUGAGGUCACUAAGGGCAUCGUUAAGAAAUUUGUUAUUUUCACAGAUGUCUAUUCUUAUUA